RNAcentral lists this ribosomal RNA (174 nucleotides) under uncultured eukaryote. Its description in RNAcentral is "partial 16S ribosomal RNA". It matches the Rfam family "Bacterial small subunit ribosomal RNA", at positions 335 to 524 of the family's 1533-position model. The record is from RNAcentral.
ACUCCUACGGGAGGCAGCAGUGGGGAAUUUUCCGCAAUGGGCGAAAGCCUGACGGAGCAAUGCCGCAUGGAUGUAGAAGGCCCACGGGUCGUGAACUUCUUUUCCCGGAGAAGAAGCAAUGACGGUAUCUGGGGAAUAAGUAUCGGCUAACUCUGUGCCAGCAGCCGCGGUAAU